AACUGAGUUUGUGAUCGGUAUGGAAGUUUAAUUUUUCACAAAAUAUGGAGCAUAUAUAUUAUGUUAACAGUAGAAGAUAAGGCAAAAAUCGUUGCUGAGUUUGGUCGUA
Molecule: non-coding RNA, 109 nt
Filed under: Succinivibrio dextrinosolvens
Lineage: Bacteria; Pseudomonadati; Pseudomonadota; Gammaproteobacteria; Aeromonadales; Succinivibrionaceae
Also listed under: 1 other name
Description: leader
Rfam family: Ribosomal S15 leader
About the family: The E. coli Ribosomal S15 gene 5' UTR can form two alternative structures. One that is a series of three hairpins, The other includes a pseudoknot.
Source: RNAcentral